Acinonyx jubatus (cheetah) is the source of this 3330-nucleotide RNA transcript. It is a transcript of the gene named solute carrier family 36 member 2, with no coding region annotated. The record is from RefSeq and is a predicted model, not a curated record. The transcript has 13 exons. NCBI's taxonomy places the organism in Eukaryota, Metazoa, Chordata, Mammalia, Carnivora, Felidae.
GGUAAGGGGUGGAAAGGGCCUCUUUCGGAAUAAGAAUACAAAAUUACAAAUUCAAAAUUGCACCCAGGACCUUGGAAGGAGUCCCGUGGAAGGGAGGGCCUGGACAAAUCUGUCUCAGACGCCACCAGUUAGCUGAGAGAUCAUUGGAGCAAAGCCUUUGGCCCAUGAGAUGAUGGUACAGGGAGCGGUGUGGCUUGAGUAAAAUGCUAUAAUUUUGAAGGAAGGAGGAAAUCUUGGCCUGUUCAUCUGUCACUGAAGCAGAGAUAAUGACAGAGCUUGGAACACUAGAGAAACCCCCUCAAGGCCUUCUUUAGCUACGGAGUUCAAUCCUGAAUGUCAUGUGCGACCUUAGGCAAAUCACGUGCUCUCCAGGCGCCAGUGUCCUACCCAGUGAAAUGUGGCUGGGGGUUGUUACAGUCUCUGCCUUUUCCAAAAGAACCCUCACGGCUCUCUCCCUGGAGCUCCACAAAAGCUAAGAAGCUUCUGGAGGUGGAGCAGACCUCCUCAUCACCCGGAGCCCUCUCUCGGAAACAGUCAUGCCCGUGACAAAGAGUGCUGGGGGCCCUCAGGGAGCCGUUGACCUCAAACUGGACCUCAGGUACCCACCCAAAAGUGCCAAGAGGCUGCACAGCAAGGACUCCAGUUUCUGGGAUGGACACCCUUCCGAGUCGCCAGGCUUAGAGAAAACCACAGGCAUAACAGCAUUCCAGACCUUAGUUCACCUGGUAAAAGGCAACAUGGGCACAGGGAUCCUGGGACUUCCCCUGGCUGUGAAGAAUGCGGGCAUCCUGAUGGGCCCGCUCAGUUUGCUGGCAAUGGGCUUCAUCGCCUGCCACUGUAUGCGCAUCCUGGUCAAGUGUGCCCGGCGCUUCUGCCACAGGCUUAACAAGCCCUUCAUGGACUAUGGCGACACAGUACUGCACGGACUGGAAGCCAGCCCCAGCGCCUGGCUCCGGAGCCAUGCCCACUGGGGAAGGCAUAUCGUGAGCUUCUUCCUUAUAGUCACCCAGCUGGGCUUCUGCUGUGUGUACGUUGUGUUUCUGGCUGAUAAUUUAAAACAGGUAGUGGAAGCAGUUAAUGGCACCACCAACAACUGCCAUUACAAUGAGACAGUGAUUCUGACGCCCACCAUGGACUCUCGACUCUACAUGCUUGCCUUCCUGCCCUUCCUGGUGCUGCUGGUCCUCAUCCGGAACCUCAGGGUCUUGACCGUCUUCUCCAUGUUGGCCAACAUCAGCAUGCUGGUCAGCUUGAUCAUCAUCACCCAGUAUAUUGCCCAGGAAAUUCCAGACCCCAGCCGGUUGCCACUGGUAGCAAGUUGGAAGACCUAUCCUCUGUUCUUUGGAACAGCCAUUUUUUCAUUUGAAAGCAUUGGCGUGGUUCUUCCCCUGGAAAACAAGAUGAAGGAUGCCCGCCGCUUCCCAGCCAUCCUGUCUUUGGGAAUGUCCAUCAUCACUGCCCUGUACAUUGGCAUCGGGGCCCUGGGCUACCUGCGGUUUGGAAACGACAUCAAGGCCAGCAUAACCCUUAACCUACCCAACUGCUGGCUGUACCAGUCGGUCAAGCUCUUGUACAUCGUGGGUAUCCUGUGCACUUACGCCCUGCAGUUCUACGUCCCUGCAGAAAUCAUCAUCCCCUUUGCCACCUCGCAGGUGUCAAAGCGCUGGGCACUGCCUCUGGACCUGUCCAUCCGCCUCGCCAUGGUCUGCCUGACAUGCACCUUGGCCAUCCUCGUCCCCCGCCUGGACCUGGUCCUCUCCCUGGUGGGGUCCGUGAGCAGCAGCGCCCUGGCCCUCAUCAUCCCGCCCCUCCUGGAGAUCACCACCUACUACUCGGAAGGCAUGAGCCCCCUCACCAUCGCCAAGGAUGCCCUGAUCAGCAUCCUGGGCUUUGCAGGCUUUGUGGCAGGAACCUACCAGGCCCUGGACGAGCUGAUCCUCUCGGGAGGCCCUCUCACCUUUUCCAACUCUACCGUUUUUAUUCAGUGAACAUGGCACUGUCCCGUACCCACCAGCGCCUGACUUAUACUGAUGUGGAUAUCUUUUAUAUGCACUAUCUGUAUUUUACCACUUUAUCCUUUUUCUGGGCCAAGUCAUGGUGAAACAAGCAAAGACUCACUGGCUACAGGGUCUAGAUGGUAAUUUAAAAAUUUGGUUCUGUUAUUCCUUUUCUUUCCAUCUCUAGCUUUCCAUUAAGUCGAGAGCUCUCCCAUGGAAGGCUCUUGAUUCCAUCCAACUUUUGGGCAAUUCACGUCACCUUGAGUGGUGCUAGGCACGAAGAAGCCACCAGGGGGAAACCAAGUGACAGCAACUGGCAGAAGGACGUGCAGCUGACUAAGGCUGACCCUGAUCUGGUAGACCAAGGGUUUCCCCUUUUCCAGAUCUGUUCAAUGAGCAAAGACUAGGGGACAGAACCUAUAAUCCAACAAGGUAUGCAUGGCUCCUGUGUCAAAAUGGGUAGGGCAAAGAGGUCCAACGUUGAUGUGCCAAUGUGCCAAUGGCAUGGAGAAGUUGAUGUGCCAAUGGCAUGGGGUAGGGGAAUGGAUAAUGCCAUUACAGUAUUUGGCAUUAUUUACCUCUUAACUCUUGCAACAAGCAUUCUCCCUACGGUGUGUCAAGCAUAGUUCAAGGUUCUUAUAGUAGGUUGCAAAAAUUGCCACAGAUUCCUCUGGACAAUGUGACUUUGCAGCUCCUCCCAUCAAGAGGUGAAAUCCAUGUCUCUACUCCUUGAAUCUGGUCUUGCCCUUGUGACUUAUUUGGGCCCGUUGAACAUCAGUAAAUGUGACACAAGCAGAGAUUUGGUGAUGGCUUGUGCAUCAGGACUUUCAUUUCUCCCUACGCUAUGGGGUGAAGAUCCACCAGUGGAAGAAGCCUGAGCUAGCCUACUGGAGGAUGAGAAGCCAUGUUGCACAGAAACGAAUCAUCCCAGUUGAGCCCAUCCCUCAGAUCAACCAGCCUGCCAACCUCUGACACAUGAGGGAAGCCUCCUAGACUACAUCCAGCUCCAGUCAAGCUGACCCAAGUCGUGGUGCCAUCAAACUGGAUUUUGAGUAAAACUUGGGUCUCCUGACACUGAACCUUUCCCUCCUUCCACUCCGACCUGCCUCUUUGACAGUCCUGGGCCUUUUCUCAUGUCUGCGCUCAGCUGACAGCAAGAGCCAGCCAACCUGAAACACCAGCUCAACCUUCCAGGCGCAGUCCACACACCCUUCCUGUACAGGAAUUCUGAGCAGGUAGCACUCAGGCCCGGGAAGAGCCACUCUUCACUCCCGCCCUGGGUUGGGCCACACCUGCAUCCUGGGACUGCGUCCUUAUUGGCUGGGCAGCCUCC